GAUGAACGCUGGCGGCGUGCCUAAUACAUGCAAGUCGAGCGAACAGACGAGGAGCUUGCUCCUCUGACGUUAGCGGCGGACGGGUGAGUAACACGUGGAUAACCUACCUAAAGACUGGGAUAACUUCGGGAAACCGGAGCUAAUACCGGAUAAUAUAUUGAACCGCAUGGUUCAAUAGUGAAAGACGGUUUUGCUGUCACUUAUAGAUGGAUCCGCGCCGCAUUAGCUAGUUGGUAAGGUAACGGCUUACCAAGGCAACGAUGCGUAGCCGACCUGAGAGGGUGAUCGGCCACACUGGAACUGAGACACGGUCCAGACUCCUACGGGAGGCAGCAGUAGGGAAUCUUCCGCAAUGGGCGAAAGCCUGACGGAGCAACGCCGCGUGAGUGAUGAAGGUCUUCGGAUCGUAAAACUCUGUUAUUAGGGAAGAACAAAUGUGUAAGUAACUAUGCGCGUCUUGACGGUACCUAAUCAGAAAGCCACGGCUAACUACGUG
This 496-nucleotide ribosomal RNA is filed under the name uncultured bacterium. RNAcentral describes it as "partial 16S ribosomal RNA". It matches the Rfam family "Bacterial small subunit ribosomal RNA", at positions 28 to 507 of the family's 1533-position model. The record is from RNAcentral.